CAUUAUCAAUAUCAGCGGGCUUCGGCCCCUGCUAUACCCUUGUCUUUUGCGUACCACUUGUUUCCUCGGCGGGCUUGCCUGCCGAUAGGACAAACACAAACCCUUUGUAGUUGCAAUCAGCGUCAGAAAAAAACAAUAAUUAAAACUUUCAACAACGGAUCUCUUGGUUCUGGCAUCGAUGAAGAACGCAGCGAAAUGCGAAAAGUAGUGUGAAUUGCAGAAUUCAGUGAAUCAUCGAAUCUUUGAACGCACAUUGCGCCCCUUGGUAUUCCAUGGGGCAUGCCUGUUCGAGCGUCAUUUGUACCUUCAAGCAAUGCUUGGUGUUGGGUGCUUGUCCGCCAGCGGACUCACCUAAAAGCUAUUGGCAGCCGCCGCAUAGGCAGCAGAGCGCAGCACAUUACCGCGUCUCUGCCCUCCGCGACGGCAUCCACAAGCCCUUUUCAACGUUUGACCUCGGAUCAGGUAGGGAUACCCGCUGAACUUAAGCAUAUCA
RNAcentral lists this ribosomal RNA (493 nucleotides) under Pleosporales sp. JPK 78. RNAcentral's name for it is "eukaryotic LSU rRNA". The stretch from base 144 to 297 matches the Rfam family "5.8S ribosomal RNA". The record is from RNAcentral. Lineage: Eukaryota; Fungi; Ascomycota; Dothideomycetes; Pleosporales.